RNAcentral lists this ribosomal RNA (250 nucleotides) under uncultured Gardnerella sp. RNAcentral's name for it is "partial 16S ribosomal RNA". It matches the Rfam family "Bacterial small subunit ribosomal RNA", at positions 103 to 355 of the family's 1533-position model. Lineage: Bacteria; Bacillati; Actinomycetota; Actinomycetes; Bifidobacteriales; Bifidobacteriaceae. The record is from RNAcentral.
CGGGUGAGUAAUGCGUGACCAACCUGCCCCAUGCUCCAGAAUAGCUCUUGGAAACGGGUGGUAAUGCUGGAUGCUCCAACUUGACGCAUGUCUUGUUGGGAAAGUGUUUAGUGGCAUGGGAUGGGGUCGCGUCCUAUCAGCUUGUAGGCGGGGUAAUGGCCCACCUAGGCUUCGACGGGUAGCCGGCCUGAGAGGGCGGACGGCACAUUGGGACUGAGAUACGGCCCAGACUCCUACGGGAGGCAGCAGC